RNAcentral lists this ribosomal RNA (253 nucleotides) under uncultured bacterium. RNAcentral describes it as "partial 16S ribosomal RNA". It matches the Rfam family "Bacterial small subunit ribosomal RNA", at positions 524 to 776 of the family's 1533-position model. The record is from RNAcentral.
UACGCAGGGUGCAAGCGUUGUCCGGAAUUAUUGGGCGUAAAGAGCUCGUAGGCGGUUUGUCGCGUCUGCUGUGAAAACCCGAGGCUCAACCUCGGGCCUGCAGUGGGUACGGGCAGACUAGAGUGCGGUAGGGGAGAUUGGAAUUCCUGGUGUAGCGGCGGAAUGCGCAGAUAUCAGGAGGAACACCAAUGGCGAAGGCAGAUCUCUGGGCCGUAACUGACGCUGAGGAGCGAAAGCAUGGGGAGCGAACAGG